AAUUCGUAGAUAUUCGGAAGAACACCAGUGGCGAAGGCGACAUACUGGCUCAUUACCGACGCUGAGGCGCGAAAGCGUGGGGAGCAAACAGGAUUAGAUACCCUGGUAGUCCACGCCGUAAACGAUGAUUGCUAGUUGUCGGGCUGCAUGCAGGGNGNNAACGCAGCUAACGCAUUAAGCAAUCCGCCUGGGGAGUACGGUCGCAAGAUUAAAACUCAAAGGAAUUUUCCCCNAGCGGGGGGG
Molecule: ribosomal RNA, 243 nt
Filed under: uncultured bacterium
Lineage: Bacteria
Description: partial 16S ribosomal RNA
Rfam family: Bacterial small subunit ribosomal RNA
Source: RNAcentral